AGCUUUGUGCAGUGGCAGUAUCGUAACCAAUGAGGUUUAUCCGAGGCACAAUUACUGCUAAUUGAAAACUUUUCCCAACACACUGCCAUAAUGACUUGAACUAUACUAGGCAUUGGCAAUUUAAUUUUUGACAGUCUCUACGGAGA
Molecule: small nuclear RNA, 146 nt
Organism: Nomascus leucogenys (northern white-cheeked gibbon)
Lineage: Eukaryota; Metazoa; Chordata; Mammalia; Primates; Hylobatidae
Gene: U4
Rfam family: U4 spliceosomal RNA
About the family: U4 small nuclear RNA (U4 snRNA) is a component of the major U2-dependent spliceosome. The structure of U4 snRNA from yeast and human has been reported. U4 snRNA presents a k-turn RNA motif in the 5p-SL related to recognition of Snu13 protein.
Source: Ensembl